UCCGUUGAGCGUGGCGAUUUGUUUACCGGAUUGCGGGCCACGUUAAACAUGCCGCUAAAGAGGUCAGACGAAAGGCUCC
The sequence is a regulatory RNA element, 79 nucleotides long. It matches the Rfam family "Alpha-proteobacteria SAM riboswitch aptamer". Rfam says of the family: This family is a riboswitch found predominantly in alpha-proteobacteria that binds S-adenosyl methionine (SAM). The record is from Rfam.